This 252-nucleotide ribosomal RNA is filed under the name uncultured bacterium. Its description in RNAcentral is "partial 16S ribosomal RNA". It matches the Rfam family "Bacterial small subunit ribosomal RNA", at positions 524 to 776 of the family's 1533-position model. The record is from RNAcentral.
UACGUAGGGGGCAAGCGUUGUCCGGAUUUACUGGGCGUAAAGAGCGCGUAGGCGGAACGAUAAGCGGGGCCGGAAAGCCCCCGGCUCAACCGGGGAAGGGGCCGCGAACUGUCGUUCUUGAGGGGGAGAGAGGAGAGCGGAAUUCCUGGUGUAGCGGUGAAAUGCGUAGAGAUCAGGAGGAACACCCAUGGCGAAGGCAGCUCUCUGGCUUCACCCUGACGCUGAGGCGCGAAAGCGUGGGGAGCGAACGGG